RNAcentral lists this long non-coding RNA (3520 nucleotides) under Homo sapiens (human). RNAcentral's name for it is "non-protein coding lnc-WIF1-6:2". The record is from RNAcentral. Lineage: Eukaryota; Metazoa; Chordata; Mammalia; Primates; Hominidae.
AGACGACAAAGAAAGCGUCAGCCAUAUCCAUCAAACUUGGAUCAAGUAAGCCUAAAGAAACUGUUCCAACUCUUGGCUCCAAAAAAUGGAUACACCAACAUCAGCUGGACCGAACUCCUUCAAUAAAGGAAAGCAUGGGUUUUCUGAUAACCAGAAACUAUGGGGGCAAAAUAUAAAAUCUCAUCUUGGAAAUGUCCAUGACCAAGACAAUUAAAUGAUGUUUUGAAAUUGGGGUGUGGUUUAAAACUGCAAGCACUUACUCUCUUAACUCCCUUAUUACCUAAACUUGUCUGGCUCCCAGGAACAGCCUUAAAGCACAUUUUAGAUACUGAAAUAGAAGGAAAGGAAAUGCAUCUUCAAACAUUUUUUGGAAUCUUACCACAUAUACCUUGUUAGAUUUGUGUAUUGUAGGGUGUUUGUUUUUGUAUUUUUGUAUUGUAUAUGAACUUUUACACCAUAAUAUAUACAAUUUUUAUUUGUCAAUUAAAACAUUUUUUAAAAAACACAUGAAUCUCAUGGUACAUGGACUUGCAUUAAAGAUUGGGGUUCAAAUUCUGCCCCUUACUACUUACCUAGCAUGGUAAGUAACGAUCUUGGUGUUUUGCCUUUUCUUUCCUUUGCCCCAUCUCUCUACUGCUAUUUAGUUGAGACCUCCAUCAUCUUUCACCAAGAUCAACAUAACAGUCUCCUAACUGGUCUCUCUGUCUCCAAUCUUACCCUCUACAGUCUGUCAUCAAUCCUAAUGAUAAAUGGAAAUGUGGUCAUCCAAAGUCCUCCAUCAAAACCCUUCAGUGACUCCCCAUUGGCCAGAGGGCAAAGUUGGAGCUUCAAAGCAAUGAUUCAUAGUUAAUUCAAUGAUCUUUGUAAUCCUUUAUGAUCAGUUUCCUCUUUUCACUCAGUGGCAGAUACUUGUAGUUGUCCUCAAAUUUCAUACUCUCAUUUUUCUUUAUUAAUAUAACCACACAUUUUUAACUGAGCUCAUUGAUCAUCAUAACAGAGUCUAUUGAAAGUCCUCAGCAGGCGGUGUGACGAUGUGACCAGCUCUGGCCAAGGAGCUGUAGGCAGAAGUGUCUUGCAGCAGCUCCUGUAAAUCUUAAAAGACAGCUGGUGCGUGUCUUUUUUCCUUUUUUUUUCCCUUCCCCCUUCCUGCUGCGCUGAAUAUGGAUAUGGUGAGUGAAUCUAGAGCAGCCAUUUGGAGGUAUGAAGAGAUCUUGGAAAUAGAGGCCAUGUGUGUUGAAACAAGACCGAACAACUCCAAGUUCCUGAAGACUUCAUUUCACCAACCCAGAACCUCCUUGAUCAUCACAGUUUUUUUUUUUUUUAAUAGAGACAGGGUCUCAUUCACUAUGUUGCCCAGGUUUGUAUGAAGUUUUACAGAAAAUUAAUACAAACAGAAAUCAGACCUUUAAGAGUUGAGAGUAAGUAGGAGAGUUAGGACUUGUACUUACUUAGCUAUUAUAUAGUAUAGAACCCAUUGAGUACCAGAAGAAACAUACAGUCAUAUUGUAGGGAGGAUGCUUUCACAUGGAGACAGGAGGGCAGCUUUCAAGGAAGAAGUGGAAUUUGAGUUUAACCAUGAAAGCUGAGUAAAGUAGAGAAGCAUUAAGAUGGGAGGGAAAGAGAGAAAAGAGGGAGUAGUAGUCUUGAUGACAGCAAGAUAACACACAUGACCUUGUCCUGCUCUUCAUUUUCCCAAGCAGGCACCAGAUACUAUAAUGUGGUCGAACCAUUUUACAUUUUCACCAGCAAUGAAGGAGGGUUCCUGUUGCUCUACCAUUUGGUACUGUCAGCGUUUUGGAUAUUAGCCGUCCUAAUAGAAAAUAAAUGCAAUUGAAAAAAAAUCUCCUGGGGCCAGGCGUGGUGGCUCACGCCUGUAAUCCUAGCACUUUGGGAGGCCGAAGUGGGCAGAUCAUGAAGUCAAGAGAUCGAGACUAUCCUGGCCAACAUGGUGAAACCUCAUCUCUCCUAAAAAUACAAAAAAUUAGCUGAGUAUGGUGGCACAUGUCUGUAAUCCCAGCUACUCGGGAGGCUGAGGCAGGAGAAUGGCUUGAACCCGGGAGGCAGAGGUUGCAGUGAGCCAAGAUCGUGCCACUGCACUCCAGCCUGGGUGACAGGGCUCAGACUCCGUCUAAACAAACAAAAAAAAUCUCCUGGAAGUCCCAUUUGAUCUUGGUUACAUGAGCUUACUAGAGAAUUUUGUUGUUCCCAACAUUAGCUGAGAAAUGUACUCUAAGAAGUGAAUAGACUAAAGUGGAACCAGGGUGCAGUGGAGAACGAGAGCUGUUAUCUAGAAAACCUUUCUCAGGCAUGUUUCAGCACACUCUGCUCCUGACGAUGGCUCUAUCAUCAAAGAAUUCUGUGGUCAGGUGUAUGGGAUAUGCUGCAUAGGCUCCCUAUGAGCCUCCAAAUUGUAAGUUAAAGGCUCUGAGAGCUUGGCAGUAAGUAGAAGACUCCUGGUCACAUUUGUUUAACCCAGUGUUUCCCAAACUCAUUUGGCCUUGGAACUCUAUUUCUUGGGACAUUUAUUAGCUGCUGGUGGAACCAGUGUUCAAAAAAUUACUCCCUAGACACUUCUUGCAUUGUUUACAAUGACCUCAAUCAGUUAACUUUUGGGACAAAGAGCUUCCAAGCCACUAUGCACAAUUACAGAGAAAAUAUAGGGAAGAUACUCUCGUGGAAAUGCAGUCUGAUGAGGGAGAGAGAACCCACAUAAAUAUAUCUAAACACCAACUACAGUCUCUGCCAAAUAUUUGAAACCAACUGCAGCUGUGCAGAGGAAACAUAAAUCUGUAGAGAGUGAAAAAGGAAAUAAAGGAAGUGGAUAAGCUGGAGGUCUGAAUUAAUUGGAGCCAGAAGGAGAUCAUCUGAGAAGGCUAAACUUCAUCCAUUAUUUUUCAACAGCAUGUAAUUUUCCUAAUUACAAAAGGUACAAAAUUUAGGAUGCACAGAAAAAUACAAAACAUUUUAAAAAUCUUCAUAAUCCCAGUACCCAUCUAUACUCCAUAUACCUUUUCUCUGUUGAGAUAAUUAUAAUCUACUUUUUGAUGUAGGUUCUUCAAAUCUCUUUUCUAUGCAUAUACUUUCCCUCUCAGAUUUGAUGCUCUGCAGGUUUUAUGUUUCCAACUUUUUACUCUUAUAAAAAUGGUACAUAAACAUCUCUUCACAACCAUCUUUUUUACAUAUCUCUGAUUAUUUUGUGCUCCAAAAGAAUUGUAAUCAUGGGGACUAACAUGUGUUGAAUUUUAUAAUGUGUUUACUCUGAACUAAGUUCUUUAUAUGCAAUAUCUUAUUUAAUUCUCAGAACAACUGUUAUACCAGUACUAUUAAUAUUGUAUUCAUAUUCUAGGUGAGGAAACAACGAUUUAGGGAGGUUACAUAGCUUGCCCAACAUGACACAGCUAGUAAAUGGAAUAACUGGGAUUUGAACCAGAACUGACUGACUUCAGAAUCCAAGUUCCAUCCAUUGUAGAAUACUCCACCCCAGGAGUCCACUUAAAUUCUCACUAGCAGAUUAACCUCC